AUCUAGCUGACGAGUCCGAAACUGGACGACAUGUGCGUCCUAGAU
Molecule: non-coding RNA, 45 nt
Filed under: Schistosoma curassoni
Lineage: Eukaryota; Metazoa; Platyhelminthes; Trematoda; Strigeidida; Schistosomatidae
Source: RNAcentral